This 1032-nucleotide ribosomal RNA is filed under the name Triticum aestivum (bread wheat). Its description in RNAcentral is "partial small subunit ribosomal RNA". Lineage: Eukaryota; Viridiplantae; Streptophyta; Magnoliopsida; Poales; Poaceae. The record is from RNAcentral.
AUGGCCACCGUCUCGCGAGCUACCGCAGCUGAAGCCGCCAUUGGCGCCAUGAUCGACGACCACGCCGCGGGCUACCGCAAGAGACGGCGCAUCGGGAACACCGACGAGUACGAGCUGACGCGCGUGCUCGGGGCGGGCGGCUUCGGCGUCGUCGUCAAGGCGCGCCACCGCGCCACCGGAGAGGACGUCGCCCUCAAGUUCCUCGUCCGCUCACCCGAUGGCGGCGGCGACGGCAAGAGGAGGCGCCACCGUGCACACGCGCUCCACCGCGACCUGCUGCGCGAGGCGUGCUACCUCAAGGCGUGCCGCGGCCACCCCUCGAUCGUCGGCUUGCACGGCAUCGCGCGGGACCCCCGCACCGGGCAGUGCAGCCUCGUGCUGGAGCACGUCGGCCCGAACCUCGCCCACGUCCUGCGCGAUCGCCGCCGGCCGUUCACGGAGGAGGAGACGCGCCGCGUCAUGCGGCAGCUCCUGAGCGGCGCCGGGAGGAUGCACGAGCGCGGCAUCGUCCACCGGGACAUCAAGCCCGGGAACGUCCUCGUCGGCGGCCAGGGCGUGGUGAAGAUAUGCGACCUCGGGCUGGCCGUGUCCAUGGCGAGCGCGCCGCCGCCGCGCGGCCGGGCCGGCACGCGCUGGUACAUGGCUCCCGAGAUGCUCCUGGGGAGGCCGGACUACGAUGAGCUCGUGGACGCCUGGUUGCUCGGCUGCGUCAUGGCGGAGCUGCUCACCGGAGAGACACUGUUCCCAGGACAAAACGCGGUCGACCAGCUCCUCCGAAUCUCCAGCGUGCUCGGCGGCGCGUGUGUAGGAUUCGCGCACGCGCCGCUCGCCGCCGCGGGGCAGAUGCCGCCGACACGCCGAUGCGACAGCCGGCUGCGCGAGCUGUUCCCGGAGGAGCGCCUGUCGCGCGAUGGAUUCGAGGUUUUAGACGGGCUCCUCACAUGCGACCCUAGCGAGCGUCUGCCGGCGGCCGUGGCGCUCCAGUGCCCGUGGUUCACUGGUACCGCCUACGUCCCUGCCUCUGCUGCGUAG